UACGUAGGUGGCAAGCGUUAUCCGGAAUUAUUGGGCGUAAAGCGCGCGUAGGCGGUAAGAUAAGUCUGAUGUGAAAGCCCCCGGCUCAACCGGGGAGGGUCAUUGGAAACUGUUUUACUUGAGUACAGAAGAGGAGAGUGGAAUUCCAUGUGUAGCGGUGAAAUGCGCAGAGAUAUGGAGGAACACCAGUGGCGAAGGCGGCUCUCUGGUCUGUAACUGACGCUGAGGUGCGAAAGCGUGGGGAUCAAAC
RNAcentral lists this ribosomal RNA (250 nucleotides) under uncultured prokaryote. Its description in RNAcentral is "partial 16S ribosomal RNA". It matches the Rfam family "Bacterial small subunit ribosomal RNA", at positions 524 to 773 of the family's 1533-position model. The record is from RNAcentral.